Lineus longissimus is the source of this 754-nucleotide long non-coding RNA. RefSeq lists it as uncharacterized. The record is from RefSeq and is a predicted model, not a curated record. The transcript is spliced from 4 exons. NCBI's taxonomy places the organism in Eukaryota, Metazoa, Nemertea, Pilidiophora, Heteronemertea, Lineidae.
GGAAUUCUCCUGCGCGGCGGCAUUUAUGUUUCGGAACUUCUCCGUUUAAUUCUCUGAUUUCACCUCUAUUUCGUGCAUAAAGACAACUUUUGGAUUCCUGUUUCAAGAUCAGGGGCGUGGCUGUCACCGACGUUGUCUAAGAGAGACCUGAUGCUAUAUUACUGUUGAAAAAGACGAAGCUGUUUGAUUUGGCAUGGCUAAGUAUUGACUGACAAACUGUCAAAAAGCUCCUCCAUCUGAUGGCACAGACCUCCAACAGGAUUUCACUGAUCAGCUGACUGCAGCAAAAUCUGACUGAAGAAAAUGAUGAAGGAAUCUACAAUGUCGUUGCAAGGACAAGCAAUCUCAGAAUACAAGCACCUCAACGGGAAAACCACUGGUAAUUGAAGCUGGUAGAUCGCCGUGACAUCUCUCGUAAACAAGCUGGGUUAUGGACAAGGAUCACAUCAACUAAGUUCAAAUGUCUUGAACACGAUAGGGCCCCUUCCAUUCUGACUGGAAAAGACAUCUAUCAUCUUUGGUUUGUACAUGAUCAAGGGUAUCCACAGUUUCUUUGCUGGGAAAAAUGGAAAGCAGUGGAAUUCAACGAUGGUGUGACAAUAUUUCCUGUCCUUGCCAAGGACCUAAAUAUUUGAUGAUAUCAUUCUGUCAUAUUACAAUGUCCACAAUCAUUUUAUUGUCAUCUUUUUAUGGCUGUUGUUAAUUGAAAGUUUGUCAGCUGAGCUAAAAACAACAACAAAUGAAUAAACAGAGU